Molecule: small RNA, 588 nt
Filed under: Pan troglodytes (chimpanzee)
Lineage: Eukaryota; Metazoa; Chordata; Mammalia; Primates; Hominidae
Description: processed transcript
Source: RNAcentral
GAUAUUAUGCUGCUGGCUAGAAACAAUAGCUUAUUUUUCCCUCAACAACUAGUAAAGUUCAUUUUAUAAAACACAAAAGCUAGAAGAAAUGGAAAACUGCAGAUGAUUCUACCAGCCAGGGCUCAUCACGGAUUCGGAAACUUCAGAUACGAAAUAUCCCGCCUCAUUUACAGUGGGAGGUGCUGGAUAGUUUACUAGUCCAGUAUGGAGUGGUGGAGAGCUGUGAGCAAGUGAACACUGACUCGGAAACUGCAGUUGUAAAUGUAACCUAUUCCAGUAAGGACCAAGCUAGACAAGCACUAGACAAACUGAAUGGAUUUCAGUUAGAGAAUUUCACCUUGAAAGUAGCCUAUAUCCCUGAUGAAAUGGCCGCCCAGCAAAACCCCUUGCAGCAGCCCCGAGGUCGCCGGGGGCUUGGGCAGAGGGGCUCCUCAAGGCAGGGGUCUCCAGGAUCCGUAUCCAAGCAGAAACCAUGUGAUUUGCCUCUGCGCCUGCUGGUUCCCACCCAAUUUGUUGGAGCCAUCAUAGGAAAAGAAGGUGCCACCAUUCGGAACAUCACCAAACAGACCCAGUCUAAAAUCGAUGUCC